This 75-nucleotide transfer RNA is filed under the name bacterium. Its description in RNAcentral is "tRNA-Arg". It matches the Rfam family "tRNA". From Rfam's summary of the family: Transfer RNA (tRNA) molecules are approximately 80 nucleotides in length. Their secondary structure includes four short double-helical elements and three loops (D, anti-codon, and T loops). The record is from RNAcentral.
GCACCCGUAGUGAAAUGGAUAUCAUACCGGUCUUCGGAACCGUUGUUGGGGGUUCGAAUCCCUCCGGGUGCACAA